Molecule: ribosomal RNA, 460 nt
Filed under: uncultured bacterium
Lineage: Bacteria
Description: partial 16S ribosomal RNA
Rfam family: Bacterial small subunit ribosomal RNA
Source: RNAcentral
CCUACGGGAGGCAGCAGUGAGGAAUAUUGGUCAAUGGACGAGAGUCUGAACCAGCCAAGUAGCGUGAAGGAUGACUGCCCUAUGGGUUGUAAACUUCUUUUAUAUGGGAAUAAAAUGUUCCACGUGUGGGAUUUUGUAUGUACCAUAUGAAUAAGGAUCGGCUAACUCCGUGCCAGCAGCCGCGGUAAUACGGAGGAUCCGAGCGUUAUCCGGAUUUAUUGGGUUUAAAGGGAGCGUAGGUGGAUUGUUAAGUCAGUUGUGAAAGUUUGCGGCUCAACCGUAAAAUUGCAGUCGAAACUGGCAGUCUUGAGUACAGUAGAGGUGGGCGGAAUGCGUGGUGUAGCGGUGAAAUGCUUAGAUAUCACGAAGAACUCCGAUUGCGAAGGCAGCUCGCUGGACUGCAACUGACACUGAGGCUCGAAAGUGUGGGUAUCAAACAGGAUUAGAUACCCCUGUAGUC